This 812-nucleotide ribosomal RNA is filed under the name uncultured bacterium. Its description in RNAcentral is "bacterial SSU rRNA". It matches the Rfam family "Bacterial small subunit ribosomal RNA", at positions 8 to 813 of the family's 1533-position model. The record is from RNAcentral.
AGAGUUUGAUCCUGGCUCAGAUUGAACGCUGGCGGCACGCUUAACACAUGCAAGUCGAACGGCAGCAUAAUUUGUAGCAAUACAGAUUGAUGGCGAGUGGCGGACGGGUGAGUAAUGCGUAGGGAACUGUCUUUAAGUGGGGGAUAACCUAGGGAAACUUGGGCUAAUACCGCAUAGACUCUGAGGAGUAAAGCUGGCUUUCGGGCUGGUGCUUGAAGGUGUACCUACGUCGGAUUAGCUAGUUGGUUAGGUAAAGGCUGACCAAGGCGAUGAUCUGUAGCUGGUCUGAGAGGACGGCCAGCCACACUGGGACUGAGACACGGCCCAGACUCCUACGGGAGGCAGCAGUGGGGAAUAUUGGACAAUGGGGGCAACCCUGAUCCAGCGAUGCCGCGUGUGUGAAGAAGGCCUGCGGGUUGUAAAGCACUUUAGUUGGGGAGGAAGCUUGUUAGUUUAAGAGAUAAACAAGUUGACGUUACCCAAGGAAUAAGCACCGGCAAACUCUGUGCCAGCAGCCGCGGUAAUACAGAGGGUGCGAGCGUUAAUCGGAAUGACUGGGCGUAAAGGGCGCGUAGGCGGUUAUAUAAGUUAGAUGUGAAAGGCCUGGGCUUAACCUAGGUUGGUCAUUUAAUACUGUAUGACUAGAGAGGAGUAGAGGGCAGUAGAAUUCCCGGAGUAGCGGUGAAAUGCGUAGAUAUCGGGAGGAAUACCGGUGGCGAAGCGACUGUCUGGACUCUUACUGACGCUGAGCGCGAAAGCGUGGGGAGCGAACAGGAUUAGAUACCCUGGUAGUCCACGCUGUAAACGAUGAA